GACGAACGCUGGCGGCGUGCUUAACACAUGCAAGUCGAACGGAGUUAAGCGCUGGAUUGAUGGCAGCUUGCUGUUGGAUUUCCUUGCUUAACUUAGUGGCGGACGGGUGAGUAACGCGUGAGUAACCUGCCCUUGAGUGGGGAAUAACGUUCUGAAAAGAACGCUAAUACCGCAUAAUACAUAGUGACCGCAUGAUCAUUAUGUCAAAGAUUUAUCGCUGAAGGAUGGACUCGCGUCCGAUUAGCUAGUUGGUGAGGUAACGGCUCACCAAGGCGACGAUCGGUAGCCGGACUGAGAGGUUGAACGGCCACAUUGGGACUGAGACACGGCCCAG
Molecule: ribosomal RNA, 334 nt
Filed under: uncultured bacterium
Lineage: Bacteria
Description: bacterial SSU rRNA
Rfam family: Bacterial small subunit ribosomal RNA
Source: RNAcentral